This 253-nucleotide ribosomal RNA is filed under the name uncultured bacterium. RNAcentral's name for it is "partial 16S ribosomal RNA". It matches the Rfam family "Bacterial small subunit ribosomal RNA", at positions 524 to 776 of the family's 1533-position model. The record is from RNAcentral.
UACAGAGGGUGCAAGCGUUAAUCGGAAUUACUGGGCGUAAAGCGUGCGUAGACGGUUAUGUAAGUCAGAUGUGAAAGCCCAGGGCUCAACCUUGGAAUUGCAUUUGAGACUGCAUAGCUAGGGUGCGGAAGAGGGAAGCGGAAUUUCCGGUGUAGCGGUGAAAUGCGUAGAUAUCGGGAGGAACACCAGUGGCGAAGGCGGCGACCUGGGCCAAUAUUGACGCUGAGGUGCGAAAGCGUGGGGAGCAAACAGG